This 423-nucleotide ribosomal RNA is filed under the name uncultured soil bacterium. RNAcentral's name for it is "bacterial SSU rRNA". It matches the Rfam family "Bacterial small subunit ribosomal RNA", at positions 26 to 480 of the family's 1533-position model. The record is from RNAcentral.
AGAACGAACGCUGGCGGCAUGCCUAAUACAUGCAAGUCGAACGAACACUUCGGUGUUAGUGGCGCACGGGUGCGUAACGCGUGGGAAUCUGCCCUUGGGUUCGGAAUAACAGUUGGAAACGACUGCUAAUACCGGAUGAUAUCGAAAGAUCAAAGAUUUAUCGCCCAGGGAUGAGCCCGCGUAGGAUUAGCUAGUUGGUGAGGUAAAGGCUCACCAAGGCGACGAUCCUUAGCUGGUCUGAGAGGAUGAUCAGCCACACUGGGACUGAGACACGGCCCAGACUCCGUACGGGAGGCAGCAGUAGGGAAUAUUGGACAAUGGGCGCAAGCCUGAUCCAGCAAUGCCGCGUGAGUGAUGAAGGCCUUAGGGUUGUAAAGCUCUUUUACCCGAGAUGAUAAUGACAGUAGUCGGAAGAACGUAACG